GGGACACGUGGUAUCCUGUCUGAAUAUGGGGGGACCAUCCUCCAAGGCUAAAUACUCCUGACUGACCGAUAGUGAACCAGUACCGUGAGGGAAAGGCGAAAAGAACCCCGGCGAGGGGAGUGAAAAAGAACCUGAAACCGUGUACGUACAAGCAGUGGGAGCACCUUCGGGUGUGACUGCGUACCUUUUGUAUAAUGGGUCAGCGACUUAUAUUCUGUAGCAAGGUUAACCGUAUAGGGGAGCCGCAGGGAAACCGAGUCUUAACUGGGCGUUAAGUUGCAGGGUAUAGACCCGAAACCCGGUGAUCUAGCCAUGGGCAGGUUGAAGGUUGGGUAACACUAACUGGAGGACCGAACCGACUAAUGUUGAAAAAUUAGCGGAUGACUUGUGGCUGGGGGUGAAAGGCCAAUCAAACCGGGAGAUAGCUGGUUCUCCCCGAAAGCUAUUUAGGUAGCGCCUCGUGAACUCAUCUUCGGGGGUAGAGCACUGUUUCGGCUAGGGGGUCAUCCCGACUUACCAACCCGAUGCAAACUACGAAUACCGAAGAAUGUUAUCACGGGAGACACACGGCGGGUGCUAACGUCCGUCGUGAAGAGGGAAACAACCCAGACCGCCAGCUAAGGUCCCAAAGUCAUGGUUAAGUGGGAAACGAUGUGGGAAGGCACAGACAGCCAGGAUGUUGGCUUAGAAGCAGCCAUCAUUUAAAGAAAGCGUAAUAGCUCACUGGUCGAGUCGGCCUGCGCGGAAGAUGUAACGGGGCUAAACCAUGCACCGAAGCUGCGGCAGCGACACUAUGUGUUGUUGGGUAGGGGAGCGUUCUGUAAGCCUGCGAAGGUGUGCUGUGAGGCAUGCUGGAGGUAUCAGAAGUGCGAAUGCUGACAUAAGUAACGAUAAAGCGGGUGAAAAGCCCGCUCGCCGGAAGACCAAGGGUUCCUGUCCAACGUUAAUCGGGGCAGGGUGAGUCGACCCCUAAGGCGAGGCCGAAAGGCGUAGUCGAUGGGAAACAGGUUAAUAUUCCUGUACUUGGUGUUACUGCGAAGGGGGGACG
This 1048-nucleotide ribosomal RNA is filed under the name Klebsiella pneumoniae. RNAcentral describes it as "partial 23S ribosomal RNA". It matches the Rfam family "Bacterial large subunit ribosomal RNA", at positions 419 to 1474 of the family's 2925-position model. The record is from RNAcentral. Lineage: Bacteria; Pseudomonadati; Pseudomonadota; Gammaproteobacteria; Enterobacterales; Enterobacteriaceae.